Molecule: long non-coding RNA, 6555 nt
Filed under: Homo sapiens (human)
Lineage: Eukaryota; Metazoa; Chordata; Mammalia; Primates; Hominidae
Description: HSALNT0060835
Source: RNAcentral
AAAAAAAAAAAAAGAAUGUCUGCUGUCCUCCCUGUACCUUCCUGUCCCUCAUGUCACCCUGGCUCAUCCUCCUUCUAGCCUCACUCUCCUUCUUUAACUGGCCAACUCAACCUGUAGGCCUCAGCUGAGAUGGUCUUCCUCUGAGAUUUUUCUGGCUGCCCCUAGAUCACAGGUCUCUGUUCCUGUGGAACCUCUGCUUCCUGCUUCAUAAACACCUGCUCCAUAUAUUAUCAAAUUCCUAUCAUCUACCUCCAGCCAGCUUGAGCUCCUCCAAGGCAGAGUUGCUGCACCAUCUGUGCCCAGCACAGUAUCAGAGGAGGGGCUAAAAACAAUGCUUGGACAUAUGAUUCUCGGUUCCCUCUUGCCCCCUGGACCUGCUCCUGGUGUCCCCCUCCCUCCCUUCUCCUAUGGGGAUCUGUAGAUUGCAUCACCCUUCUGCUGUUGAAAGUAAUGAAUCACCUCUCGCCAAGUCCCCACGUGGUAAAAAAUCUCCCGGGAUACAGGAGAAGUGCCAUAGAUUACGGCUUGGUGUGGUCAUAGGGAGCAAGUGAGGGGUGGCAGGGUGCCUGUACAAGCGGGGAAGGGUUAGGGAUCCCAGCCCUUAUCCUGUGCACAGUUUUGGUUUCUGCCAGCUGGAGCUGUGCAAAGGAUUGGCAGUGUGGCCCUCACCUGAGGCAGGGCCUGGGAACCUGAGCAUCCCUGGAAGAUGCUGAGCUGGGCCUUGGUGGGGAUGGGGGAGGAGGGGGCUCAGAAGUACAGCCCAAUCCAGGCUGUCUGACAAGCAAUGGGGACGGGAGAGUCCCGGAUAGCUGGUGAGGAGCCAGGGCUCAGGGUGGGCCCUCUCCUUAAGCCCGAGGUAGGAGGCUGGCAGCAGCACUGACGCAAGUACAGGUGAGGGCAGGGCCCAAAAUGUGGCCCUGGGGCCUUCCAGCUUGGCCAGACCAGCCCAACGAGAAGCCAGGGCUGGGAGGGCCAGGCAGGUGGGGAAGGCUUGCAGGCCAGGCCCAAUACCUUGAGAAGCCAAUGGGCUCCUCAAGGGUACUUCAUUCUGGGUGAGGCCCAAGACGUGGCGGCCACACUUCCUCCCAUGCCCAGGGAUUCUGAGUCUACGCAAGCCCAGGCCUGAUCCCUGCCAUGGUCACUGCCCAGCAGGGAAUCUCCUGGAGUGAGGCCCCAGGGUGGAGCUGCCCAUGGGCAACUUCCCUGCUCCCACCCCUGUCUGUCUCUCCCAGACCUCUUAUAGGUCAUUGUUGAGAGCUCAAGGUCAUAGCUGCCAAAGAAAUACCACAGGGCAUGGCACUGUAGGCCUUGGAGUGGAGGAUGGUGGGGAAGACAGGGUGAGUCUACAAUUCUUCCAAAAAUGCUAAUCUCACUUUGCCACUCCUUGUUUGCAACCCUUCCCUGGCACCCUGCAGGCAUUCAGGACAGCAUUCAACUCUGACCUUGGCCUACACAGCCCUCCUGGAUGGUCUCAAUUCCCUCUCCAACCUCAUCCUUCCCUCUUCUCCACCUGGUGGGUCACUUUCCAUUUCUCUCUGUCCUGGGUGCCUGAGUGCUUGGACCUGGUACUCAAAGGCCACCCAGCACCCAGAUAAGUCCUGCUUACCCUCCACUUGCUGUUCUAGCAACGAAGUGACUCUGACUCCCAACCAGAGUAGAAGUCACUCCCUGCCUGCAGCCCCACAGCUCCCACCUCUCCCCUGCCAACCCAGUGUACCACUGAGUGGGCCCAGAUGCAACACUCCUGACAAGUCACUGAGGGUAUCACAGUAACAGCCUCUGCCCAGCAAUUUCCUUUUCAGCCUGCAGGGUCCUCACGCUCACCGGUCUGGUCACAGGGUUCACCCUGUUUUGCCAGCUGCCAGCUCAUCCAGCCUUCCUAAGUGUGAGUCCUGGGGUUACACUGAGCCUACGUGUGAGGCCUUGGUCACUGUGGGCAUUAUGGCGAUGUCCAGGCCAGUGCUGAGAUCUUUCCUGUUGCUGAGAUUAUGAGGGACCCUGAGUCCUUAUUCUCUGUCCUGAGUCCCCUCACCUGUGGGUUCUUCCCAUCCCAGGUCCAUCACCUCCCUGCAUCCCUGUCCUCCCUGCUUUUGGCUUCCUCUGCUGGGACACUCCUGGUGAGGCCACCUGGCCCAGCUUGUUCCUCCCCUCUCCCUGAGCUUGUCUCAGAUCAGGCUUUCUGGAUCUGAGUUUACUGCUUGUCCUGUGGCCCUUUUCUGAGAUCCUCUCUUCCAGUCUCUGGGGCUGUCCUCACCCCAACAUGCACCUGCUGCCCCAGGGUGCUGGCGAAAGCUCCUCAAGUGGUCAUUUAUUCACUAAAAGCUCCUAUUUGCAGCCUCUGCCCCACGCCAGGCCUAGGCUGGAGCUGGGGCUGCAGUGUGAACAAGCCAGGUCCUGUCUUCAGAGCCUCACAGCAUGGUGGGCAAACAAUUCACAGAAUCAUGUUGCCUGUCACUGCAGGAGACAGAGCAAGGUCCUGUGGAGGAUGGCGGGUAAAUGGGGUACUGUCUGGCAGAGCAACUGGGAAUAUGUAUUUGAGCCUUUGCAAACUCUCCAGCUAUUUGACCUCAGCUGCUUACCUGCUCACACCACCUCCUGAUAGCCUCUGUGGUGCUCACUGAUCUCUGACCACAGCUUUAGGUACAAGUGUCCAAGAAAUUCCUUCACCUUGAGCUGACCACCUGCUCUUUUCUCCAGCUCAUAGGCUCCACAUGGGCUGACCUCUUGGCUGCCCCUGGAUUGGGGGCCCUUCUGCUUGGUGUACCAAGCCCCCGAGAGGGUGCCUGUCACUCAAGGACUGCUGGAGGAAAGAAGGGCUCUCUGAUCCCUAGAAGGAGGCCACCUCUGGUCCUGCGCAGCUGAGAGGGGCUCCACACAGAUCCUCCUCCUCUAAAUGUCUGUUUUCCUCCUGUGUGAACCAAAGGGCUCACUUGUUGUUUCUGCUGCUUUUAAAAUUGUGAGUAGAUAUGUUUUUUGCCAGGGCAGCUUGCUCCAGGAUCUCACAGGAACAGAGGGCAUGGUGCCUACAGCAAAGCCAGUCUGCCGUGGGACUGCCGGCCUCUGCCUGCUGCUGAGUGGGGCAGGCAGGAUGUGCAGAGGGGCUGGCCUGAUCCCAUGGUCCUGAAGACAGGACCAGCUUUGGGAGGAAGCUGAGUUUGUCUGCAUGAAGGAGCUGCAUUUGCACCUGCCGACCCCCUGCAGGGAUUGGCAGAUGGAAUUGCUCAAUAAACAUUCAACAAAGUAUCUGUCUUAGUCAAGAUUCCUUUGCUUACAAGUUUAAGCAAAAAGAAGUUUCUCUGGGAAAGUUCUCAUAACUGCAGGAAGAGAAGGGUGUAGGUGGGCCUCAGAGACAGCUGGAACCAAGGACUGACACCGCACCAAAAUUCACUUGCACCUUCUGCCCUCGCUCCAGUUCCUCCCCAUGGUGAAAGACUUGACUAUAAAUGGCUCCAGCACUUUCUGGCUCCAAAUCCACAGGGGAAAUAAGCUACUUCUUUAUAUUCUCACACUGAAAAAUUUCAGGGAAGAAUGCUGACUGACCCAACUUGAGCCAAUUACUCAACCUUGGACCAAUCACUGUGAAGAGGGUAUCCAGGAAUAUGGCAUUUCCCAUUCAAAGAUCAUGGUCAGAAAAGAGUGAGGAGUGGAUCCUGGGAGAUGGAGGAUGCUGUUCUGGGCAGACAAAAUGGAGUUAAACAUUACAAGAAAGAAUGAUUAAGUAAAUGAAUGAGCCAAGAGCUACACAUGUCCUUACAGAUAAUGGCACAAUUUCCACAGUGUUUGCAAAGAAUUCUCUCUGGUUCUUACUGUAGCCCUAUGAAUCCACAUCUCACAUAUGAGGAAAGACGGUCAAAGUUACAAGUGAAAAAAAUGCAGCCAGGAUUCCACCCCCUGAUGGCAUAUUAGAUGUGUGUACUUGGAGUUUUUCCUCCCACAGAAGUGUGGGCAGCUAGACCUCUCCUGAGCAGUCACUGGAGAAGAGGGCAAGUGUUUAUCUGUGAGGGAGGGAAAAGGGAUUCUGUCAAGGGUUAGCUCUAAGCCCAUUUCUGCACCAACUCUCAUGUUGGGAAACCUUUUCUUGCCUCAGUCAGCAUGAGAACAUAACUGCUUCUUUGGGGAUUUGAGACCAUGCCAUCUUUGCUUUAGUGUUAAACUGUGAUUAUUUUAGCUUGUAUCUGGAGCCCUAAGGGCCCAGGACAUGGAGGUCAUUAUCCAGAACCAGACACAGAUGAGAGGCCCUUGACUUGGGACUUAGAGGGCAAAUGGGCAGCUCAGUUUUCACUUCCUACUAGCUCUCUGACACACACACCAGGGAAUUCACUGCUUUUUCCUGUGCCUUUAUUCUAACACAUGGCACUUGCUGCAGUGCCUCAUAGUCAGGGGGCUAGACUUGCUUCUUAAGGUCAAGGCCUGAAUCCGUUUAUCUUAUCCUCUCAGAACUUGAAGUCUAUGGUAGAUGGUUUGCAAAGAUGGCUUCAAUAACCCCUCCCAUUCCUAUGUGCAUGCCCCUUUGCAACAUAACUCUGCUACUUUUUCCUUGAAGAGGUCAAGUCUCUUUCCCUACCCCUUGAAUUUGGGCUUGCCUGUGACUUGCUUUGACCACCAGAAUGCAGCAGCCUAGUCCUCAAGAGGCGUUGCAGCUUUUGCUCUUGUCCUCUUAGCAUCUGCCAAUCUACAUGUGAACAUGCCUGGGCUAGCCUGAUGGAGCAUGACAAGCCACGUGGAGUAGACAAAUACCAUCCCAGUUGAGGCUCACCAGACCAACUCACUACAGCCAGCACCAAGUGUCAGACAUGAAUAUGACCUUCUUGGACCUUCCCCCUCAGUCAAGCCACCAGAAGACUGCAGCCCCACUAAUGAGCCCAGGGGAGACUAAGGAAAGAAUCUCUCAGCUGAGCCUAGCCUUAAUUGCUGACUUACAGAAUUAUGAGCAAAUAAAAUAGUUGUUUUCAGCAGCUAAGUUUUGAAGUGGUGUGUUACACAGUGAUAGAAAAUGGGUACAGGGUAGUUCUUAGUUGUAGUAUGUUGAAUUGCCUCUUCCCAAAAAAUAUGCUCAAGUCCUAACCCCUGAUACCUGUGAAUGUGACCUUAUUUAGAAAUAGGGUCUUUGCAGAUGUAAUCAAGUUAAGAUGAGGUCAUACAGGAUGAGGGUGGGCCCUAAAUCCAAUGACUGAUGUCUUUAUAAGAUUUGGAUACAGAGACACAGAGGAGACACAGGGAAGAAGGCCAUGUAAUGACGAGGGUAGAGAUUGAAGUGACUCAACGUAUAAGCCAAGGAAUACCAAGGACUGCCAGGAGCCAUCAGAAGCCAGGAAGAAUUCCCCCUUAGCAUCUUCAGAGGGAGCAUGGCCCUGUGAACACCUUGAUUUCAGACUGCUAGCCUCCAGAACUGUGAGAGAAUACAUUCCUGCGUUAAGCCACCCAGUUUGUGACCAUUUGUUAUGGCAGCUCGAGAAAAUUAAUACACGAGUUCAGAAUUUUGCUCAGAAAGUGCCAGCUGGCUGAAUGGAGAAGCUGAGAAGUGGAGGAUAAUUAACUUGCCCUUUUGGCACCUCGCCCCUCCAUUGACUUCAGUCACCAUGCUGCUGGGUCACCACCUCCCAGGGCUCAGACACCUGCAUCUUCUGCCCAGCCCUCGGGGGUCUGGCUCCAGGUCUGCACACACACACGAACCCGGGCACAGUGCUCAGGGCAUUCUUUAUGUAUGCGUAUAUACACACUUUUUUUUCUGCACAUAAAAAUAGUUCGUGAAAAUCUAAGUAAGCUUAGAAAAUAUAGCAAAGUAGGCCAGGCGUGGUGGCUCAUGCCUGUAAUCCCAGCACUUUGGGAGGCUGAGGUGGGUAGAUUACUUGAGGCCAAGAGUUCAAGACCAGCCUGGCCAGCAUGUCAAAACCCCAUCUCUACUAAAAGUACAAAAAUUAGCUGGGCAUGGUGGCGGCCACCUGUAAUCACAGCUACUUGGGAGACUGAGGCAAGAAUCACUUGAACCUGGGAGGUGGGGGUUGCAGUGAGUCGAGAUCAUGCCACUGCACUCCAGCCUGGCGAGAGAGCGAGACUCUGUCUCAAGAUAUAUACAUUUAUAGCAAAGUAAAAAGAAGAAAAAAAAUACCCAAAACUUUAUCGUCCAGUGAUAACCACUGUCAACAUUUCAUUUUUUUUUUUUUUUUUUUUUUUUUUUUUUUGUGAGACGGAGAUUUACUCUUGUUGUCCAGGCUGGAGUGCAAUGGCGCGAUCUCAGCUCACCGCAUUCUCCGCCUCCCAGGUUCAAGCGAUUCUCCUGCCUCAGCCUCCCGAGUCGCUGGGAUUACAGGCAUGUGUCACCACGCCCGGCUAAUUUUGUAUUUUUAGUAGAGACGGGGUUUCGCCGUGUUGCCCAGGCUGAUCUCGAACUCCUGACCUCAGGUAAUCCGCCCGCCUUGGCCUCCCAAAGUGCUGGGAUUACAUGCGUGAGCCACUGCACCUGGCAACAUUUCAUUUUUAAAUUGUUAUAGUCUUUUCAUUUAUACAAAUAUUGGUAUAUGAUUUUUCAAAGCAAAAAAUGGGAUCAUACUGUUG